Molecule: ribosomal RNA, 458 nt
Filed under: uncultured bacterium
Lineage: Bacteria
Description: partial 16S ribosomal RNA
Rfam family: Bacterial small subunit ribosomal RNA
Source: RNAcentral
AAUGAACGCUGGCGGCAUGCCUAACACAUGCAAGUCGAACGAAGGCUUCGGCCUUAGUGGCGCACGGGUGCGUAACGCGUGGGAAUCUGCCCUUGGGUUCGGAAUAACAGUUAGAAAUGACUGCUAAUACCGGAUGAUGUCGUAAGACCAAAGAUUUAUAGCACAAGGAUGAGCCCGCGUAGCAUUAGCUAGUUGGUGGGGUAAAGGACUACCAAGGCGCCGAUCCUUAGGUGGUAUGAGAGGAUGAUCAGCCACACUGGGACUGAGACACGGCCGCGACUCCUGGGGGAGGACACAGUAGGGAAUCUUACGCGAUGGGGGAAAGCCUGACGGAGGAAAGCGGCGUGAGUGAUGAAGGUGCUCGGAUCGUAAAGCUAUGUUAUUCGGGAAGAACAAAAGUGUAAGUAACCAUGAACGUAUUGACGGUACCUAAUCAGAAAGCCACGGCUAACUACGUG